UACAGAGGGGGCAAGCGUUGUUCGGAUUUACUGGGCGUAAAGGGCGCGUAGGCGGUCACGACAAGUCAGUUGUGAAAUCUCCGGGCUUAACUCGGAACGGUCAACUGAUACUGUCGGACUAGAGUGCAGAAGGGGCAACUGGAAUUCUCGGUGUAGCGGUGAAAUGCGUAGAUAUCGAGAGGAACACCUGCGGCGAAGGCGGGUUGCUGGGCUGACACUGACGCUGAGGCGCGAAAGCUAGGGGAGCGAACGGG
This 254-nucleotide ribosomal RNA is filed under the name uncultured bacterium. Its description in RNAcentral is "partial 16S ribosomal RNA". It matches the Rfam family "Bacterial small subunit ribosomal RNA", at positions 524 to 776 of the family's 1533-position model. The record is from RNAcentral.